GAUGAAGAACGCAGCGAAAUGCGAUAAGUAAUGUGAAUCGCAGAAUUCAGUGAAUCAUCGAAUCUUUGAACGCACAUUGCGCCCCUUGGUAUUCCGAGGGGCAUGCCUGUUCGAGCGUCAUUAUAACCCCUCAAGCUCAGCUUGGUGUUGGGGCCUGCUGCACUGGCAGCCCUUAAAAUCAGUGGCGGCGCCAUCUGGCUCUAAGCGUAGUAAUUCUUCUCGCUAUGGAGUCCUGGUGGAUGCUUGCCAUCAACCCCCAAUUUUUCUAUGGUUGACCUCGGAUCAGGUAGGGAUACCCGCUGAACUUAAGCAUAUCAAUAAGCGGAGG
This 328-nucleotide unclassified non-coding RNA is filed under the name soil metagenome. RNAcentral describes it as "partial contains 5.8S ribosomal RNA, internal transcribed spacer 2, and large subunit ribosomal RNA". The stretch from base 1 to 120 matches the Rfam family "5.8S ribosomal RNA", at positions 35 to 154 of the family's 154-position model. The record is from RNAcentral.